UGCUGCACGACGGAGCACUUGAUGUUCUUCACCGACUUCUUGCUGCCGUUGGUGACGCUGAUGUUAGGGAUGAUGGUCUCGCCAUGGUAGUAGACGUCCUUGUCGAGGUUGACUUCCAUGUUGAGUUUCCCAGGUGAGAGGGUGAAGCCCUUGGAAACAAGGGUGCUCGGCUGGCGCCUGUUGCCGCCGGCAGGACAAUAUUGGACCUUCCUGACGGCGAGAUUGACGGAGUUUCGCUUGUG
Molecule: unclassified non-coding RNA, 242 nt
Filed under: Hevea brasiliensis (rubber tree)
Lineage: Eukaryota; Viridiplantae; Streptophyta; Magnoliopsida; Malpighiales; Euphorbiaceae
Source: RNAcentral